UUAAAAUUUCUUAUAACUGCGUGUUAUUGUGGAAAGAUGCUGAAAAAUAUGAAAAUUCUUUGUACAGCAAGUGAACUACUUCUUUAAAAAUAAAACAGUGUCUUAACAUGUCAGCAAGAGUGGCACAACAACUGAAAAGUAUGAUGUACCUUUGAAGUUCUACAGAAUAUGAGACGAAAAUGACUCCAGAUUCCAGCUGAGUGUUCUGUGACAGCAUUACUAAGAGCGAGGUUGACUGGAGUUGAACUAAACAUUCACAUAAUCUAUAUGCUCUGCACCGUAAGGCUUCUGUCACAGUUAACGUUUGAAAGAUAAAUCUACCUUUUACUUGGCAUCAAAACUAAGGUAUUAAACUGCUGGGAGCUGUGGCUUUCACUGUGCAGAGAGGGACUCGCUCGAAGUCAGUUUUCAGUAGGCGUUUCCAGCCAACUAAUUAUACUCAAAACCACAGCAUAUCCAGACUCCUGAGGGCUGGCAAAGCGGCUUCUUCCUCCGUCAAUUUCUUCAGGAAUUCUUCUUUCCGGACAGAUGCUAUUGGUUUCCUGAGAGACUGGAAGUAAUGCGUAGUCUCUGUUUUACAAUUAGUUCAUAUCUGUUAAAAUACCUUGAUAUUGUUUUGUUUUAUUGUAUACUUAUUAUCUAUUGUUGGUUUCAUUCGGAUCUACUAGUAAUAUUUGUAAAAUUGGUGUUGUACCGUUGAAAUAAAUAAAUAGAAUGGAUGGAAGUUUACAUCUAAUCACAACAUA
Long non-coding RNA from Homalodisca vitripennis (glassy-winged sharpshooter), 746 nucleotides. RefSeq lists it as uncharacterized. Lineage: Eukaryota; Metazoa; Arthropoda; Insecta; Hemiptera; Cicadellidae. The transcript has 2 exons. The record is from RefSeq and is a predicted model, not a curated record.